UACGGAGGAUGCAAGCGUUAUCCGGAAUUAUUGGGCGAAAAGGGUCCGCAGGUUGCAGUGUAAGUCUGCUGUCAAGGAAUGAGGCUUAACCUCAUCAAGGCAGUGGAAACUACACAGCUAGAGUACGGUCGGGGUAGAAGGAAUUCCUGGUGUAGCGGUGAAAUGCGUAGAGAUCAGGAAGAACACCGGUGGCGAAAGCGUUCUGCUAGACCUGUACUGACACUGAGGGACGAAAGCUAGGGGAGCGAAUGGG
RNAcentral lists this ribosomal RNA (253 nucleotides) under uncultured bacterium. RNAcentral describes it as "partial 16S ribosomal RNA". It matches the Rfam family "Bacterial small subunit ribosomal RNA", at positions 524 to 776 of the family's 1533-position model. The record is from RNAcentral.